AACGAUGGUGGGCUGGACGAGGGCUUCUUUUGAAGCGCCGAUAUUCGUUACGGGUCGGUACGCCAACCUUGUUCAGUCCGCCUCCAGA
This is a non-coding RNA of Enterobacter cloacae, 88 nucleotides long. The record is from Rfam. Lineage: Bacteria; Pseudomonadati; Pseudomonadota; Gammaproteobacteria; Enterobacterales; Enterobacteriaceae.